This 253-nucleotide ribosomal RNA is filed under the name uncultured bacterium. RNAcentral describes it as "partial 16S ribosomal RNA". It matches the Rfam family "Bacterial small subunit ribosomal RNA", at positions 524 to 776 of the family's 1533-position model. The record is from RNAcentral.
UACAGAGGGUGCGAGCGUUGUCCGGAAUCACUGGGCGUAAAGGGCGCUUAGGCGGCGCGGUAAGCGUGCGGUGAAAGCCCGGGGCUCAACCCCGGGUCGGCCGUGCGGACUGCCGGGCUGGAGCACUGUAGAGGCAGGUGGAAUUCCGGGUGUAGCGGUGGAAUGCGUAGAGAUCCGGAGGAACACCAGUGGCGAAGGCGACACGCUGGGUCAUACCUGACGCUAAAACGCGACAGCAUGGGGAGCGAACGGG